This 253-nucleotide ribosomal RNA is filed under the name uncultured bacterium. RNAcentral's name for it is "partial 16S ribosomal RNA". It matches the Rfam family "Bacterial small subunit ribosomal RNA", at positions 524 to 776 of the family's 1533-position model. The record is from RNAcentral.
UACGGGGGGGGCAAGCGUUGUUCGGAAUUACUGGGCGUAAAGGGUUCGUAGGUGGCUGGCUAAGUCAGACGUGAAAUCCCUCAGCUCAACUGGGGAACUGCGUCUGAGACUGGUCAGCUCGAGUGCAGGAGAGGAACGCGGAAUUCCAGGUGUAGCGGUGAAAUGCGUAGAUAUCUGGAGGAACACCGGUGGCGAAGGCGGCGUUCUGGACUGCAACUGACACUGAGGAACGAAAGCCAGGGGAGCAAACGGG